RNAcentral lists this long non-coding RNA (4343 nucleotides) under Pongo abelii (Sumatran orangutan). RNAcentral describes it as "lincRNA". Lineage: Eukaryota; Metazoa; Chordata; Mammalia; Primates; Hominidae. The record is from RNAcentral.
AUUUAGAAAAGUUUUGGAUUCAUCUGUUUAUGAGGAGGAAAAGAGGCCAAGAAAAGGCAGCAAUUUGUCCAUGUGCUUAAUUAGUGAGUGGCAGGGGCAGUAACCUGGUCUGCUGAGCACCCUGGACUCCCUGAUCCCAGCUCAAAAUAGUUUCCAGUUUUCAUCUGCCAGUUGCUUCGGAGGCUUUUCUAAGGAAGACAUUCAUAAAAUGACCCAGAAUUCAUCCUCCUUAGGUGAUAGGAUCAUUACUCCUUAUACACCCCCUAGGUCUCAGCCUAUGAACAAACACUUGUUUGUUUCUCUGUCUACCCUGUUCCAAACCACCGAACUGGAUUUUGCGAACAAGAAGAGCUGUUUCCUGUGCCUGCCCCUGAGAGCUGAUGGCUUCCCAGAGAUCCCUCGCAGUCCUGCGCAGACAGACAGAAUGCAGAAGCUGGCAGAGGAUCCUCCACACACAAGAUCAGAGGAUGUCCCAGAUCAUCUUUUCUUUGUGGAUACUGCAGGUCUAUGUGAAAUAGUGUGUUUUUGCGGGGUGCUGUCUCUUAGGACAAGUGAAGGGCUGAUGAGAAAGGAAACUGUGUGAGGUAUCACAAAGCCACCCAUGGGGCAGCCUGUGAAAAUAUGUUCACACGGAGGGAAAAUAUCAGUGUUCAUAUAUCCCUUUUAGUGCUGCCUUCCCUUUUCCACUCCCACACCACCCCCAAAACAUUUUAAAACAUUAGUUUUGGAAGACUGACUUUGUCUUAUUCUAAAAUGUGUGCACAGUAACAGAAGUGAGAAAGUCAUUCCCAGUCUUCAUCUAGUCACCUGAGUCAUUACUUUAAUGCAGCUUCUUUUUGUUCCUCAAUCUUUGAUUACAUAAUCAUUUGCAAAAAUACACUCCUGAAAUGAAAUCACAGUUAGCUGUGCAUUUUGGAGUAGUAUUAGAAUUAAGACUUACCAUCAAAGAGGUUGCCAUCUAGAAUGUUUAUUCUCUUUACUGUGCCUCAGGGGCUUUACACGCAUUUGCAACUUUAUUUUUAUUUUAUCCUAGAGGAAAAAAGGUUCAGAGUGAAUGGCUAUUAGCCUAAGGUUACUCAGCUAGUGAUAUAGGAGUUAAGAAGAAAUUAUUUAGGCAGAUAGUGAGGGUACGGGAGUCCUCGGAAAGGUUUUCCUUUUAAUGAAAAGCAGCCCCCAAAUCAUUUUCUUUUCUAACAAAGAGCAGCCUGUAAAAUUGAGCUGCAGACAUAGACAAGCAAGCUAGAAGCUUGCACAGGCGAAUGCCAGCAGUUGUGCCAACAGGAAAAGGCUACCUGGAACUAGGCAUGUUCAAAAUGGCAGCUCUAUCUUCUCUUCUCUUUGCCAGCCAGGUGUAUAGUAAGGAGCAGACAACAUGGCACUGGCCAAGUGGAAAGGCUGUUUGCAUAAUAAGAUUACGAUGGGGUGGCCUGCCUUCCCUGUGUGCUGCGUAAACAUCACACCUGAUCCAACCAAUCUGCAGGCAGUACAUAAAUCAGACACCGCCUCCUCCAGCCUGCCUAUAAAAUCUGGUGCACUCCACAUGGGCCAGAAGUCCUAUUUGGAUGCCCCUCUCUUUCGCAAGAGAGAGAGCUGUUCUCCUUUCUCUUUCUUUUGCCUAUUACAUUCCACUCCUAAAGUCACUUCUCAUGUAUGUCCACGUCCUUAGUCUUCUUGGUGCAAGACAGUGAACCCCGGGUAUUUACCUCAGACAACACCACCACUUCACUAGGAGUUAAAAGAACUUGAAAUGCAAAUUCAUGGUCAUCUGGUUCCAAAGCCCAUAUUAACAAAAUUUUUUUAAUGGCGAUAAAAUACACAUAACAUAAAGUUGACCAUGUUAACUAUUUUUAAAUGUACAGUCCAGUAGUGUUAAGUACAUUCACAUUGUUGGGAAACCAUUCUUCAGAACUUUUUAAGUUUCCCAAACUGAAACUCUGCAUCUAUUAAGAACAACUCUUUCUUCCAAUCCCCAGCUGUUGGCAACUAUCAUUCUACUUUCUGUCUUUAUGCAUUUAAUAAUUCUAGGUACCUCACAUAAAUGAAAUCAAAUGGUAUUUGUAACUGGCUUAUUUCACUUAGCAUAAUAUCCUCAAGAUUCAGUCAUAUUGUUAUAUGUGUCAUAAAUUGCAUUUGUAACGUCACAAACUACACCUUGAUACAUUGUGUACUGAUUAGCAUGGAUUUAUAAUUAUUUUUAUGCUUUGCCUUCUACAUUCUAUAAAAUAACAAAAAGUUGAGUUACAAACCAAAAUUAUAAUAAUGAAAGUUUUUACAUUUGCCCAUAUUUUUACCUUUGCUAGAAAAUUUUAUAUGGCCUAGCAUCCAUUCAUUUUAACUUAAAGGAUUCUCUUUCACAUUCCUUACAGAACAGGUCUAGUAGUAAUGAAUUUCCUCAGAAUUUUUUUAAAUCUGGGAAGUUUUAAUUCUUUGCUUUUGAAGGACAGUAUUGCUGGAUAUAGAAUUCUUAGUCACAACUUUUUUUUUUCUUCCAGCAUUUUAAAUAUAUUAUCUCACUACUUUUUUAUUUGCAAGGUUUUUGCUGAGAAAUCUGAAGAUAGUGUUAUUGAGGACACAUUGCAUGCUAUUUUUCUAUUUCUGUUUUCAAGAUUUCCUUUGUCUUUGAAUUCUCACAGUUGACUAUAUUUUAGUGUGGAUCUCUUUGGAUUAUCAUACUUGGAGUUUGUUGAGCUUCUUGUAUUUGUAGAUUCAUGUCUUUUCUCAAAUUUGGGCAGUUUGGGGUCAUUAUUUCUCCAAACACAGUAGUUUACCGUCACCCACAGUUUCACUUUCCACAGUUUCCGUUGCCAAUGCUCAACAGCAGUUUGAAAAUAUUAAAUGAAAAUUCCAGAAAUAAGCAAUUUAUAAGUUUAAAUCACAUGCCAUUCUGAGCAGUAUGAUGAAAUCUUGUGCUGUCCUGCUCUGUUCUACCUAGGACAUGAAUCAUCCCUCUGUCCAGGAUAUCUACACUGUAUAUACUACCUGCCUAUUAGUCAUUUUGUAGCCAUCUCAGUUAUCAGAUUGGCUGUCAUGGUAUCACAGUGCUUUUGUUCAAGCAAUUCUUAGUUUACUUAAUAAUGUCCCCAAAGUGUAAUAUAGGUGAUGCUGGCAAUUUGGGUAUGCCAAAAAAAAAAUGUUCAUGGAGUGCUUCCUUUAAGUGAAAAGGUGAAAAUUCUUGAUGCAAGGAAAGAAAAAAAUUAUGCUGAGGUUUCUAAGAUCUACAGUAAAAGUAAAUCUAUCCAUGAAAUUGUGAUGGAAGAAAAAGAAAUUUGUAAGUAGUAUAUAUAGGGUUUGAUACUAUAUUUGGGAUGCUGGAACAUACCCUAUUGAUAAAAGAGGACUACUAUAAGUUCUCUGUUCUUUGUUUCUCUCUUCUCCUAAAACUUCAUAAUGAGUAUAUUGGUUCACUUGGUAGUAUUCCAUAGUCUUUCAGUCUCUGUUUACUUUUCUUCAUUCAUUUUUCUAUUGGCACCUUAGACUCAAUAAUUUUAAAUGAUCUGUCUUUAACAUCAAGGAUUUUUUUUCUGCCUAUUCAAGUCUGCCAUUAAAACAUUAGGCUGGAUGCGGUGGCUCACGCCUGUAAUCCCAGCUUUUUGGGAGGCUGAGGUGGGUGGAUAACUUGAGGUCAGGAGUUCAAGACCAGCCUGACUAACAUGGUGAAACCCCAUCUCCACUAAAAAUACAAAAAUUAGCCAGGUGUGGUGGCAUGUACCUGCAGUCCCAGCUACUCAGGAGGCUGAGGCAGGAGAAUCACUUGAACCCAGCAGGUGGAGGUUGCAGUGAGCCGAUAUCGUACCACUGCACUCCAGCCUGGGCAACCAAGGGAGACUCUGUCUAAAAAAAAAAUACACUGUAGUAAAUGUUUGAAUUCAGUUAUCAUAUUUUUCAGCUCCAGAAUUAAUUUCUGUUGGGUUCUUUUUUAUAACUUUUAUCUCUGUUUUGUUUUGUUUUGAGACAGGGUCUCACUCUGUAGCAUAGGCUGGAGUGCAGUGGCACAAUCUUAGCUUACUGCAUCCUCAACUUCCCUGGGAUCAGGUAAUCUUCCCACCUCAGCCCUACUAGUAGCUGGGACUAGAGGUGCACACCAUCAUGCCCAGCUAAUUUUUGAUUUUUAAUAGAGGCAGAGUUUUGCUAUAUUACCCAGGCUAGUCUCUAACUCUUGGGCUCAAACAGUCCUCCCAUCUCAACUUCCUGAAGUACUGGGAUUAUAGGCAGGAGCCACCAGGUCUGACUAAUUUCCAUUUCCUUGUGAAUAUGUGCAUUUUGUUCAUGUAUCUUUUUUAUGAUUUUCUUUACUUAUCUGCCUGUGUUCUUCUUUGGCUCAUAUUUAAGAAUAUGAGCAUAUU